CUGGGACAGUGGCGCGGCUGCCCCUCUGUUGGUCUUCCAUGGUCUCUUGUGUUCUGGGGGCCUCUGGAUGUCUGGAGUUUUGAUCUCCUCCAUACCCGCUUCACACCCUGGAGGACGGGGCUGUGGCCCCCCCACACUCCCUAGCAGAUCAUUACAUGGAGAAACCUUUGGAAUGCAAGCAUGCUGAUCCACACAGGUAUGCACACAUGGGUAUUCACAGACGCGGACUAAAGCUUUCUUGGCUGCUGCCUCAAAGCACACUGUGCGCUGUCUAUCUUGCGUGCUGCACAAUAUCGUUUAUUACUUAGUAAAUACUGAUAUCUAUGACUAGCUAGUUUAUUGUGAUGGUGCUUUGUUUUCUCUAUUAUUAUGUUGCUCUUUGUUGUUUGCUGUCUCCUCUGUUUGUUUUUGUUUGUUUUUUUUUGUUUUUUUUUUGUCUCUCUUCCCCCCCCUUCUCACCGUCUCUUCUCCCCUUUGGUUUUCUUUCUUUCUCUCCCCCUCUCUCUCUCAUUCAUUCCCCCUGUCCUAUUUAUUAAAAAAAAAAAAAAAAAAAGGCUUGGAGUCCCAGACACAGGACUUGAAAUCAGGCCGGAGCUUGCUGGAGCAGGAGGUCGCAAAAACCUGACGAAAAAGCUCCAACAGCAGGAGCAAGCCCUGAAGGAGGUAAAGAAGCAAAAGGGUCAAGUUAAGGAGGAGCGGAACAAGGAGAAGAUGCAGGACACUGGAGAAAAGCACUGCCUCAAUUGGGGCCAGAACCAGUAUGGACAGAACUUUGAGCAGCAGCACCAACGGAUGCAAACGGACUGAAAAGGAGGAGGGCAGGACCCCAGGGCACGCUUCAGGCCGUGGUUUACCCAGAACACCAGAACAGGAAAGUGAUGAACACAAACACCCACACAAACACACACAUCCACAUGCACUGACUCAGAAUGAAGUGAAACACACAUAUGCACUCGUUGAUUGAGUGAGAAAUGACACACACACACACGUGCACAAAUCGAAAUGCUGAUUCAAUUCACUGAGAAAUGACACACACAUUCACAAGCUUGUGCAAUGAAGAGUGAUACACACACACACGCUGAUGCAAUGAAGAAUGCUUUCCUAACAAAUGCUGC
Molecule: long non-coding RNA, 1115 nt
Organism: Astatotilapia calliptera (eastern happy)
Lineage: Eukaryota; Metazoa; Chordata; Actinopteri; Cichliformes; Cichlidae
Source: Ensembl